Molecule: long non-coding RNA, 298 nt
Filed under: Setaria viridis
Lineage: Eukaryota; Viridiplantae; Streptophyta; Magnoliopsida; Poales; Poaceae
Description: long non-coding RNA (SVIR_LNC007935)
Source: RNAcentral
ACCCGUAAACCCUUGUCGGGAGUUUCCCGGUACCUCCGAUAGGUAUCGGAAGUUCCAAAACAGUGUCGGAAGUUCCAACAAAGGUAUUUUGAGUUCUGUUUUGCUUCAAGCUUUUGAGUUUUACUUCCAGUUGCUUCUCGAGGGUCCCGCUGUGUCUUUUGGUUAUAAUCACAGACACCCAACCACCUUGUUGGCUCGUGGGUCUCUCUUCUUCCACUUGUUUGGAUUUGGGGUUUGAAUUUGGGACAGAAGCCUAAGUUUUCGAAAGAAAUAUUUGAGGCUCCUAUUCACCCCCCUC